This 1373-nucleotide ribosomal RNA is filed under the name uncultured prokaryote. RNAcentral describes it as "partial 16S ribosomal RNA". It matches the Rfam family "Bacterial small subunit ribosomal RNA", at positions 60 to 1431 of the family's 1533-position model. The record is from RNAcentral.
AGUCGAGGGGUAACAGUUCCGAGCAAUCGGAAGCUGACGACCGGCGCACGGGUGCGUAACGCGUAUGCAACCUACCCUUUACUGGGGGAUAGCCCGGAGAAAUCCGGAUUAAUACCCCAUGGUACUAUUAAAGGGCAUCCUUUUUAGAUUAAAGUUUUAACGGAUAAGGAUGAGCAUGCGGAACAUUAGUUAGUUGGUGAGGUAAUGGCUCACCAAGACCACGAUGUUUAGGGGUUCUGAGAGGAUUGUCCCCCACACUGGUACUGAGACACGGACCAGACUCCUACGGGAGGCAGCAGUAGGGAAUAUUGGUCAAUGGACGAAAGUCUGAACCAGCCAUGCCGCGUGCAGGAUGAAGGCCCUACGGGUCGUAAACUGCUUUUAUAUGGGAAGAAACCCCCGGACGUGUCCGGGGCUGACGGUACCAUAAGAAUAAGGAUCGGCUAACUCCGUGCCAGCAGCCGCGGUAAUACGGAGGAUCCAAGCGUUGUCCGGAUUUAUUGGGUUUAAAGGGUGCGUAGGCGGGCUAUUAAGUCAGUGGUGAAAGUUUGCAGCUUAACUGUAAAAGUGCCAUUGAAACUGAUAGUCUUGAGUACGGUUGAGGUGGAUGGAAUGUAUCAUGUAGCGGUGAAAUGCUUAGAUAUGAUACAGAACACCGAUUGCGAAGGCAGUUCACUAAGCUAAUAUUACGCUAAGGCACGAAAGCGUGGGGAGCGAACAGGAUUAGAUACCCUGGUAGUCCACGCUGUAAACGAUGAUAACUCGCUGUUGGCGAUAUACAGUCAGCGGCCAAGCGAAAGCGUUAAGUUAUCCACCUGGGGAGUACGAUCGCAAGGUUGAAACUCAAAGGAAUUGACGGGGGCGCGCACAAGCGGUGGAGCAUGUGGUUUAAUUCGAUGAUACGCGAGGAACCUUACCUGGGCUUAAAUGUUUAAUGACCGUCCCCGAAAGGGGAUUUUCCUUCGGGACAUUUUACAAGGUGCUGCAUGGUUGUCGUCAGCUCGUGCCGUGAGGUGUCGGGUUAAGUCCCAUAACGAGCGCAACCCCUAUUCUUAGUUGCCAUCAGGUAAUGCUGGGGACUCUAAGGAAACUGCCUACGCAAGUAGUGAGGAAGGUGGGGAUGACGUCAAAUCAGCACGGCCCUUAUGUCCAGGGCUACACACGUGCUACAAUGGCCAGUACAGAGGGUCGCUACCUGGUGACAGGAUGCUAAUCUCGAAAGCUGGUCUCAGUUCGGAUUGGAGUCUGCAACUCGACUCCAUGAAGCUGGAAUCGCUAGUAAUCGCACAUCAGCCAUGGCGCGGUGAAUACGUUCCCGGGCCUUGUACACACCGCCCGUCAAGCCAUGGAAGCUGGGGGUGCCUGAAGUCAGU